RNAcentral lists this long non-coding RNA (986 nucleotides) under Callithrix jacchus (white-tufted-ear marmoset). Its description in RNAcentral is "lncRNA (ENSCJAG00000084379.1)". Lineage: Eukaryota; Metazoa; Chordata; Mammalia; Primates; Cebidae. The record is from RNAcentral.
GAUUCUCUCUGAUUUUUUUGAAAGCACAAAGAGGCUUCAUAUUUAAUUUAUAGUAUUAUAUAAGCUGCUGCUGCUGCUGGGGUGUGUGUGUGUGUGUGUGUGUGUGUGUGUGUGUGUGUGUGUGUCUUCCAGCAUAAUCCUGACUGUGGUAGUUUGGAUUUUGCAUUAUGGGGGCAACCACCAUUCUAGCAUCUGAAUACUCAUUCUAGAGGGCUAAAUCCAUGAGAGCAAAAGUAUAGAAACAAUUUUGCAGUGCUGGUGGCAUUUCCCUUGCCUAUAAAACCAAUUUUAACUGCACAAAACCCUCAGCACAUUGCAUGUGGGAAAUGCAGUGGCUGCACAUUAAGCUGUUACGAAUAACUGCUGUUGGGAUGGAAUGAAAUGGAAACAAAUCUGCAUUUUAUUUGCACUCUCUCUGCAAUUCCAUGCCAUCCAGACUGCAGUUACGUUCUGUGCACAGCAACACCGCCAAAAAGGGUGCAAUGGUUAAUAUUAAGCAUCAACUUGAUUGGAUUGAAAGAUAGGAAGUAUUGAUCCUGGAUGUGUCUGAGUCAGUGGUCUGGGAAAGGCAGACCCACCCUCCAUCUGGGUGGGCACAUCUAAACAGCUGCCAGCGUGGCCAGAAUAUAAGCAGGCAGGAAAACGUGCAAGGAGAGACUGGCCUAGCCUCCUAGUCUGCAUCUUUCUCCUGUGCUGAAUGUUCCUGCUCUCAAACAUCGCACUCCAAGUUCUUCAGUUUUGGAACUCAGACUGGCUUUCCUCACUCCCUGGCCUGCGGAUGGCCUACUAUGGUACCUUGUGAUUGUGGGAGUUAAUAAUAAACUCGUGUGUGUGUGUGUGUGUGUGUGUGUGUGUGUAUAUAUAUAUAUAUAUAUAUAUAUAUAUAUAUAUGAGACUAUUGGGCAGAGAGCUGCUCAGAAAGGCCUCCUACCCGUUUCUGAUAUACAGAAUUUUUUUUUUUUUUAGAUGGCGUCUCCCUCUGUAGC